UACGAAGGGUGCAAGCGUUACUCGGAAUUACUGGGCGUAAAGCGUGCGUAGGUGGUUCGUUAAGUCUGCCGUGAAAGCCCCGGGCUCAACCUGGGAAUGGCGGUGGAUACUGGCGGACUAGAGUGCGGUAGAGGGUGGUGGAAUUCCCGGUGUAGCGGUGAAAUGCGCAGGUAUCGGGAGGAAUACCGGUGGCGAAGGCGGCAUCCUGGACCGAAACUGACGCUGAUGCGCGAAAGCUAGGGGAGCAAACGGG
RNAcentral lists this ribosomal RNA (253 nucleotides) under uncultured bacterium. RNAcentral describes it as "partial 16S ribosomal RNA". It matches the Rfam family "Bacterial small subunit ribosomal RNA", at positions 524 to 776 of the family's 1533-position model. The record is from RNAcentral.